Molecule: ribosomal RNA, 504 nt
Filed under: uncultured bacterium
Lineage: Bacteria
Description: partial 16S ribosomal RNA
Rfam family: Bacterial small subunit ribosomal RNA
Source: RNAcentral
GACGAACGCUGGCGGCGUGCCUAAUACAUGCAAGUAGAACGCACAGUUUAUACCGUCGCUUGCUACACCAUAGACUGUGAGUUGCGAACGGGUGAGUAACGCGUAGGUAACCUGCCUGGUAGCGGGGGAUAACUAUUGGAAACGAUAGCUAAUACCGCAUAAUAUUGAUUAUUGCAUGAUAAUUGAUUGAAAGAUGCUAUUGCAUCACUACCAGAUGGACCUGCGUUGUAUUAGCUAGUAGGUAAGGUAACGGCUCACCAAGGCAACGAUACAUAGCCGACCGGGGAGGUGAACCGGCCCCACGGGACCUGGGACACGGCCCAGAUCCCUACGGGAGCCAGAAGAGGGGAAUCUUGGGCAAUGAGGGAAAGCCUGACGGAGCAACGCCGCGGGGUGGAGGAAGUUCUCCGGAUCUAAAAACUCGGUUAAUGGGGAGGAAGAGAGGUGUAGGUAAAUGUGCACACCGUGACGGUACCUAAUCAGAAAGCGACGGCUAACUACGUG